Molecule: ribosomal RNA, 497 nt
Filed under: uncultured bacterium
Lineage: Bacteria
Description: partial 16S ribosomal RNA
Rfam family: Bacterial small subunit ribosomal RNA
Source: RNAcentral
GAUGAACGCUGGCGGCGUGCCUAAUACAUGCAAGUCGAGCGAACAGACGAGGAGCUUGCUCCUCUGACGUUAGCGGCGGACGGGUGAGUAACACGUGGAUAACCUACCUAUAAGACUGGGAUAACUUCGGGAAACCGGAGCUAAUACCGGAUAAUAUAUUGAACCGCAUGGUUCAAUAGUGAAAGACGGUUUUGCUGUCACUUAUAGAUGGAUCCGCGCCGCAUUAGCUAGUUGGUAAGGUAACGGCUUACCAAGGCGACGAUGCGUAGCCGACCUGAGAGCGUGAGCGGCCACACUGGAACUGAGACACGGUCCAGACGCCCACGGGAGGCAGCAGAAGGGAAGCUUCCGCAAUGGGCGAAAGCCUGACGAAGCAACGCCGCGAGAGUAAUAAAGGUCUUCGGAUCAUUAAACGCUGUUAUAAGGGAAGAACACAUGUGGAAGUAACUGUGCACGUCGUGACGGUACCUAAUCAGAAAGCCACGGCUAACUACGUG